UGGGGAAUAUUGCACAAUGGGCGCAAGCCUGAUGCAGCAAUGCCGCGUGUGUGAAGAAGGCCUGCGGGUUGUAAAGCACUUUUAUCGGGAAAGAAAAGCAUAGGGUUAAUACCUCUAUGUAUUGACGGUACCCGAAGAAUAAGCACCGGCUAACUCAGUGCCAGCAGCCGCGGUAAUACUGAGGGUGCAAGCGUUAAUCGGAAUUACUGGGCGUAAAGCGAGUGUAGGCGGCUGCGUAAGUCGGAUGUGAAAGCCCCGGGCUCAACCUGGGAAUGCCAUUCGAAACUGCGCAGCUAGAGUCUGACAGAGGGAAGUGGAAUUCCAGGUGUAGCGGUGAAAUGCGUAGAGAUCUGGAGGAACAUCAGUGGCGAAGGCGGCUUCCUGGGUCAAGACUGACGCUGAGGCUCGAAAGCGUGGGGAGCAAACAGGAUUAGAUACCCCCGUAGUCC
This 449-nucleotide ribosomal RNA is filed under the name uncultured prokaryote. RNAcentral's name for it is "bacterial SSU rRNA". It matches the Rfam family "Bacterial small subunit ribosomal RNA", at positions 355 to 796 of the family's 1533-position model. The record is from RNAcentral.